GGAAGGAUGCCAGAGUGGUUGAAUGGGGCGGUCUCGAAAACCGUUACCCCGAAUUUUCGGGGUCGCAGGUUCGAAUCCUGCUCCUUCCG
Molecule: transfer RNA, 89 nt
Filed under: Candidatus Omnitrophota bacterium
Lineage: Bacteria; Pseudomonadati; Candidatus Omnitrophota
Description: tRNA-Ser
Rfam family: tRNA
About the family: Transfer RNA (tRNA) molecules are approximately 80 nucleotides in length. Their secondary structure includes four short double-helical elements and three loops (D, anti-codon, and T loops). Further hydrogen bonds mediate the characteristic L-shaped molecular structure. tRNAs have two regions of fundamental functional importance: the anti-codon, which is responsible for specific mRNA codon recognition, and the 3' end, to which the tRNAs corresponding amino acid is attached (by aminoacyl-tRNA synthetases). tRNAs cope with the degeneracy of the genetic code in two manners: having more than one tRNA (with a specific anti-codon) for a particular amino acid; and 'wobble' base-pairing, i.e. permitting non-standard base-pairing at the 3rd anti-codon position.
Source: RNAcentral